UGUGGGGCCGAGGGUCCACAGAUAGCUAUCAGUCCGCAGGCAUUAAGUCUAUGUUGGAGGUAAACAAAUACGGGUCCAGCUUAGGGAAAAAGAAAAACAUCUUACAGCCGGUUUCUAAGCUUCAAACAACGGAAUGUGUCAAUGAGACCUUUAUGUAUGGAUACACGUGCAUUUAAAACGGCCCCGCCAG
RNAcentral lists this long non-coding RNA (190 nucleotides) under Saimiri boliviensis boliviensis (Bolivian squirrel monkey). RNAcentral describes it as "Deleted in lymphocytic leukemia 1 conserved region 1 (ENSSBOG00000006532.1)". It matches the Rfam family "Deleted in lymphocytic leukemia 1 conserved region 1". Lineage: Eukaryota; Metazoa; Chordata; Mammalia; Primates; Cebidae. The record is from RNAcentral.